Molecule: ribosomal RNA, 484 nt
Filed under: uncultured bacterium
Lineage: Bacteria
Description: partial 16S ribosomal RNA
Rfam family: Bacterial small subunit ribosomal RNA
Source: RNAcentral
AUUGAACGCUGGCGGCAGGCCUAACACAUGCAAGUCGAGCGGAUGAAGGGAGCUUGCUCCUGGAUUCAGCGGCGGACGGGUGAGUAAUGCCUAGGAAUCUGCCUUGUAGUUGGGGAUAACGUCCGGAAACGGGCGCUAAUACCGCAUACGUCCUGAUGGAGAAAGUGGGGGAUCUUCGGACCUCACGCUAUCAGAUGAGCCUAGGUCGGAUUAGCUAGUUGGUGGGGUAAAGGCCUACCAAGGCGACGAUCCGUAACUGGUCUGAGAGGAUGAUCAGUCACACUGGAACUGAGACACGGUCCAGACUCCUACGGGAGGCAGCAGUGGGGAAUAUUGGACAAUGGGCGAAAGCCUGAUCCAGCCAUGCCGCGUGUGUGAAGAAGGUCUUCGGAUUGUAAAGCACUUUAAGUUGGGAGGAAGGGAAGUAAGUUAAUACCUUGCUGUUUUGACGUUACCAACAGAAUAAGCACCGGCUAACUUCGUG